CCUUCGGAGGGCGCUUACCACUUUGUGAUUCAUGACUGGGGUGAAGUCGUAACAAGGUAACCGUAGGGGAACCUGCGGUUGGAUCACCUCCUUACCUUAAAGAAGC
RNAcentral lists this ribosomal RNA (106 nucleotides) under Escherichia coli. RNAcentral describes it as "partial 16S ribosomal RNA". The stretch from base 1 to 94 matches the Rfam family "Bacterial small subunit ribosomal RNA", at positions 1440 to 1533 of the family's 1533-position model. Lineage: Bacteria; Pseudomonadati; Pseudomonadota; Gammaproteobacteria; Enterobacterales; Enterobacteriaceae. The record is from RNAcentral.